GUCCGGCCUUAGGGUAAGGCCGGACGAUGUCCGGGCUGAACUUAACAGCCUCUCCCUCAGGCCGGACAGCUUCGUCAGGCCCGGCAGCUCGAUCAGUGUUCCUACCUGAAGUGGCACCUGGAGAAGCGCUGACCUCGUCACCCGAAGCCUGGGGAGGAGGACGGUCUGUGGAAUAGGCUCCGGCGAAGUCCUUUUCCUCAAACGCAGAGGGGUUAAAAGGCCAGAUCCCUGGACUUGAGAACCCGGAGGUGGGACGGGUGAUUGUCCAGCAGGAGGAGCAGCUUCGACUCCUUGGACACACGGGUGUGCCUGGUCAAGUGGGCCAGGUACAGGAGGAAGUCUGGCUCCUUCAUCCAGCCAGUUGGGUUGCCGCUGCCAGCACAGCCAACGGGUCCAGGAAGUGGUCUUUGAACCGCUUACGGGGGAAGAUGAAGAAUGGCGGAACAAGGUCGCCCUGCGCAUUGCCUGCCAGGGCAACUGUGACCAGGGUCCCCCUCUCUGCUGAGGUCACUGACCCGACCUGCUUCUGCCCCAUCUGGGUGACGACACGGUCUGGCACCUGGACAGUGGUGACCCCUGUAAAUAGUUGUCUGGACAACCGUUGUUGGCUAGUGGCCUCUGGACGCCGAAGGGAGAGGCUGCCACUGCGCUCCAUGAAGGAGGUGAACCAGUCCUUCCCCGCCAUGCUCUUCCUCGACCAGGAUGCAGGGAAAGGGCAGCUGAAGUGCACUGCCAGCUCAAAGGCAAAUUUUCUGACCUGA
RNAcentral lists this long non-coding RNA (761 nucleotides) under Gadus morhua (Atlantic cod). RNAcentral describes it as "lncRNA (ENSGMOG00000029638.1)". Lineage: Eukaryota; Metazoa; Chordata; Actinopteri; Gadiformes; Gadidae. The record is from RNAcentral.